This is a non-coding RNA of Aedes aegypti (yellow fever mosquito), 74 nucleotides long. Lineage: Eukaryota; Metazoa; Arthropoda; Insecta; Diptera; Culicidae. The record is from Rfam.
CCUCUCAUGGCGUAGUGGUUGACGCGCCCCAACUAGAGAUCGGGGAGUCGUGAGUUCGAUUCUCACUGAGAAGA